RNAcentral lists this ribosomal RNA (472 nucleotides) under uncultured bacterium. Its description in RNAcentral is "bacterial SSU rRNA". It matches the Rfam family "Bacterial small subunit ribosomal RNA", at positions 8 to 507 of the family's 1533-position model. The record is from RNAcentral.
AGAGUUUGAUCCUGGCUCAGGAUGAACGCUGGCGGUGUGCCUAACACAUGCAAGUCGAGCGAUCUUCUUCGGAAGAGAGCGGCGGACGGGUGAGUAACGCGUGGGUAACCUGCCUCAUACACAUGGAUAACAUACCGAAAGGUAUGCUAAUACGAGAUGAUAUAAGAGAUUCGCAUGGAUUUCUUAUCAAAGCUUUUGCGGUAUGAGAUGGACCCGCGUCUGAUUAGCUAGUUGGUAAGGUAAUGGCUUACCAAGGCGACGAUCAGUAGCCGACCUGAGAGGGUGAUCGGCCACAUUGGAACUGAGACACGGUCCAAACUCCUACGGGAGGCAGCAGUGGGGAAUAUUGCACAAUGGGCGAAAGCCUGAUGCAGCAACGCCGCGUGAGCGAUGAAGGCCUUCGGGUCGUAAAGCUCUGUCCUCAAGGAAGAUAAUGACGGUACUUGAGGAGGAAGCCCCGGCUAACUACGUG